UUUUGACUAAUGCGGACGAGGAGGGACAUUGCUGGACGCGCCUCGGCGCACCCAGUAAACCCUUUGUGAACUUAUACCUUACCGUUGCCUCGGCGCAGGCCGGCCCCCCUCGGGGGGCCCCUCGUUCCUGACGAGGAGCAGGCUCGCCGGCGGCCAAGUUAACUCUUGUUUUUAUUGUGAAACUCUGAGAAUAAAACAUAAAUGAAUCAAAACUUUCAACAACGGAUCUCUUGGUUCUGGCAUCGAUGAAGAACGCAGCGAAAUGCGAUAAGUAAUGUGAAUUGCAGAAUUCAGUGAAUCAUCGAAUCUUUGAACGCACAUUGCGCCCUCUGGUAUUCCGGAGGGCAUGCCUGUUCGAGCGUCAUUUCAACCCUCAAGCCUGGCUUGGUGAUGGGGCACUGCCUUUGUGUAAAAACGAGGGCAGGCCCUGAAAUUCAGUGGCGAGCUCGCCAGGACUCCGAGCGCAGUAGUUAAACCCUCGCUUUGGAAGGACUGGCGGUGCCCUGCCGUUAAACCCCCAACUUUUGAAAAUUUGACCUCGGAUCAGGUAGGAAUACCCGCUGAACUUAAGCAUAUCAAUAAGUCCGAAGGAA
This 593-nucleotide ribosomal RNA is filed under the name Diaporthe amygdali. Its description in RNAcentral is "eukaryotic LSU rRNA". The stretch from base 211 to 364 matches the Rfam family "5.8S ribosomal RNA". Lineage: Eukaryota; Fungi; Ascomycota; Sordariomycetes; Diaporthales; Diaporthaceae. The record is from RNAcentral.